CCUCGUUCAAUGGCUUCUGUUUGGAUGAGUCGGUUAUCCUAUGGCACACCGCGAAUUCUCCGGAGGAAGAAUUUAAAUUGACAGAGGAAGAAGCUUGACCAAGUGGUUCCUCGUUAGUAUAGUGGUGAGUAUCCCCGCCUGUCACGCGGGAGACCGGGGUUCGAUUCCCCGACGGGGAGGUGCUAUGUUUUUUCCUUCCUUCCUUUGCUCUGUCUAUACUGUAUAUAUAAUACAGUUAACAGCAACUAUUUCGAACAUGUACAAUUCACCUACUGGUUUAUUAAUACUUGUCUCUGCUUGUAGAGUAAGUGGCGGUUUUGCACUAGCAAUGCUUACAGCAAUGGCUAAUGAUAUUAAGCUGAAUAGCAGCUUUUUAGUAGAAGUUCAUUAUUCAUACCUCAGGCGAUUACAGGAAACCUAGGGUGGCAUCAUUAAGUGAAUUCAUAUUAUAGGUUGAGAUUAGUGCUAGUGCAUUUUACUUGAUUAAAGAAGUGCCAUCCUGUUUCAUCAGGGAUGGGGGAAUUUUGCAAGACUACUAUGUUUUCAAAAUUUAUAAUGAAAAUUAAUUGUGGGUUAUUAAUUAUGAAUAGUAUUCACAAUCGUGGCAAACGGAUAGUUGAUUCCAACUGUCCACUUGGACUGUGUGGCUCACCUGUUGGAGUGGCUUGGGAUGGAACUUGAAUGUAGAGGGGGACUCUUCUUGCAUUAAUAAUAAUAAUAAUAAUAAUAAAUAAUUUUAUUAUUUAUACCCCACCCAUCUGGCUGGGUUUCCCCAGCCACUCUGGGCAGCUUACAUCAUAUCUAAAAACAUCAAUCCUUAUAAUUUUUCCUAAAAUCAUUGAUUUUUAGCACAUACAGAGAUUCCCAUGUGCCCAGCUCAUAGAUAACCACAUGGAUCUUUGGAUCAGGUCUGCUUGUUUAAAUAAAUUGUAUUCAUUUGUUUCUUAACGAAAGGUUCUACACUUGAUCUUAGCCACAAAUUACAAAUAUAAACAACAACAAAAAGGACAAACUAGUCUAUUUUUUUAUCUGUAUAGGUACAUCUGUGUGCAGGUCUGAAAAUCCAUGUUAUACUGGAGUCCUCAGCACAGAAGAAAACUCGAGGCAGCCAAAUUGAGAUGUAGGGCACUGAAGAUUUAUAUGUGGUGCUUUUGGCUUCCUUGUGUAAGAAAUAAAAUGAUACCACACACAAAAAAAAUUCUGGUAAAGAGUUGAGUCAGGUUUUGUUUGACUUUGGG
Podarcis lilfordi (Lilford's wall lizard) is the source of this 1238-nucleotide non-coding RNA. NCBI's taxonomy places the organism in Eukaryota, Metazoa, Chordata, Lepidosauria, Squamata, Lacertidae. The record is from the annotation of a GenBank genome assembly.